Molecule: ribosomal RNA, 490 nt
Filed under: uncultured bacterium
Lineage: Bacteria
Description: bacterial SSU rRNA
Rfam family: Bacterial small subunit ribosomal RNA
Source: RNAcentral
CUACGUGCCAGCAGCCGCGGUAAUACGUAGGGCGCGAGCGUUGUCCGGAAUUAUUGGGCGUAAAGAGCUUGUAGGCGGUUUGUCGCGUCUGCUGUGAAAGGCCGGGGCUUAACCCCGUGUAUUGCAGUGGGUACGGGCAGACUAGAGUGCAGUAGGGGAGACUGGAAUUCCUGGUGUAGCGGUGGAAUGCGCAGAUAUCAGGAGGAACACCGAUGGCGAAGGCAGGUCUCUGGGCUGUAACUGACGCUGAGAAGCGAAAGCAUGGGGAGCGAACAGGAUUAGAUACCCUGGUAGUCCAUGCCGUAAACGUUGGGCACUAGGUGUGGGGGACAUUCCACGUUUUCCGCGCCGUAGCUAACGCAUUAAGUGCCCCGCCUGGGGAGUACGGCCGCAAGGCUAAAACUCAAAGAAAUUGACGGGGGCCCGCACAAACGGCGGAGCAUGCGGAUUAAUUCGAUGCAACGCGAAGAACCUUACCAAGGCUUGACAU